CACGUAGGGGGCAAGCGUUGUCCGGAUUUAUUGGGCGUAAAGAGCUCGUAGGCGGUUCGGUAAGUUGGGUGUGAAACCUCCAGGCUCAACCUGGAGACGCCACCCGAUACUGCUGUGACUAGAGUCCGGUAGGGGAGCGUGGAAUUCCUGGUGUAGCGGUGAAAUGCGCAGAUAUCAGGAGGAACACCGGUGGCGAAGGCGGAUCUCUGGGCCAUUACUGACGCUGAGGAGCGAAAGCGUGGGGAGCGAACAGG
RNAcentral lists this ribosomal RNA (254 nucleotides) under uncultured bacterium. Its description in RNAcentral is "partial 16S ribosomal RNA". It matches the Rfam family "Bacterial small subunit ribosomal RNA", at positions 524 to 776 of the family's 1533-position model. The record is from RNAcentral.